RNAcentral lists this microRNA precursor (104 nucleotides) under Marmota monax (woodchuck). The record is from RNAcentral. Lineage: Eukaryota; Metazoa; Chordata; Mammalia; Rodentia; Sciuridae.
ACACCCAUUAGUGGAGUUUUUGUUAAAUUGUAGGUGCUGAUUCGGUAGGUGGAGGGUAGAUUCUGAGCAUCUACAUUUCUGACGAGCUCCCUGGUGAUGCCAAU